UACAGAGGGAGCAAGCGUUGUUCGGAAUUACUGGGCGUAAAGGGCGCGUAGGCGGUUCGAUAAGUCCCGUGUGAAAUCCCUCGGCUCAACUGAGGAAUUGCACGGGAAACUGACGGGCUUGAGUUCGGGAGAGGGAAGCGGAAUUCCGGGUGUAGCGGUGAAAUGCGUAGAUAUCCGGAGGAACACCGGUGGCGAAGGCGGCUUCCUGGACCGACACUGACGCUGAGGCGCGAAAGCUAGGGGAGCAAACGGG
This 253-nucleotide ribosomal RNA is filed under the name uncultured bacterium. Its description in RNAcentral is "partial 16S ribosomal RNA". It matches the Rfam family "Bacterial small subunit ribosomal RNA", at positions 524 to 776 of the family's 1533-position model. The record is from RNAcentral.